CAGGAAUUUCGCCGCACGCGGAGGAGAGAGAGGACACGCCGCAGACUGUCGACAACCAGGCUGUUAGGACGCCUGAUAAAGCCCUGGAGUGUUAAAUUCGCAACCAGGCCGGUGACAUAGCGUCUGAACUCCCCUCGUGGACGGCGACUGACGGGAUUCUGGGACUCUCCUGUGAACGAAACGCAACACAACGGUAGGCAAACCGAGAGCGUCUCUAUAACCGUGUGAAUGAGUGUGGGAUCCUAGAUAGAAACGCGUCACCGAGACUCUGCGUUAAACGUGAGUUCGGGGGAGCGCUGGUCACGAGAGCGCACGUGGACCCAAAACAAUAGAGAGCGGCUACGGGCUGUGCGUUAAACGUGAGUCCGGGAGCGCGCUAGCCGCGUGAGAGAGACGCAGGCUUCUCCGCCGUGUGGGGCGUGGAGAUAACCUAGGUUCGGUAGCUCCGCCGUGAGGAGUGUUCGGAAUCUCCGCCAUUUGGGGCGUUUGGAGACUUUCAACAGAAGUUAGAGGCCUAUAAAGAGUGUGAAUGAGCGUAUGUGUGUGUGAGUGCCAGUAAAGUGAACGCAGCAACACAGAAGGAAACCUAAAGCGGUGUUAACGGAAUUCUGUGACCUGUUGUGUACACGUAGCCUGGGUUUUUGGGGUAAGGCGUUGCCUGCCGCAAACUUGAAAGAAUUGUCAUAAUGGGGAAUAAAAUGUGUAAGUCUGCCUUAGAAGGGGAUGUAAAAUUUAUGGAGAAAUUUUCACCGGGCAGCACGCAGUAUGUAGAUUGUUGGCGUAAGAAAUAUGGAUUUGAAGGGACAUUAGUGGAAGUUCAGUGUAAAAUGCUUGUAGAAAGAAUAACUGUAAGUGUAGCAGGUAAAACAGGGAAAGCUAAGCAGAGGAAGGAAUUGCAGUUAGCAGUUGCUAAGUUGUGGCUGGAGCAGGCUCAAAGGAGAAGAGAAGCACAGAAUGUUAAAAGAGCAAUAUUGCAAGCAGUAGUUGUGAAACCUGAGGAUGAAACCACAGCUCAAUCCACUGCAACUACUUUAGAACAACACCGUAGAAAAGCAUUAGAAAGAGCAAGAAUGUUAGCAGAAAGAAAGUCCAGAGAAGAGCGUGAGAGAGCAGAGGCAGAGUAUGGAGAGGCAUUAGGAGCAGCAUGGAG
Oreochromis aureus is the source of this 1150-nucleotide long non-coding RNA. The record is from Ensembl. NCBI's taxonomy places the organism in Eukaryota, Metazoa, Chordata, Actinopteri, Cichliformes, Cichlidae.